Molecule: ribosomal RNA, 345 nt
Filed under: uncultured bacterium
Lineage: Bacteria
Description: partial 16S ribosomal RNA
Rfam family: Bacterial small subunit ribosomal RNA
Source: RNAcentral
CCUACGGGAGGCAGCAGUAGGGAAUCUUCCACAAUGGGCGAAAGCCUGAUGGAGCAACGCCGCGUGGGUGAAGAAGGUCUUCGGAUCGUAAACCCCUGUUGUUAGAGAAGAAAGUGCGUGAGAGUAACUGUUCACGUUUCGACGGUACCUAACCAGAAAGCCACGGCUAACUACGUGCCAGCAGCCGCGGUAAUACGUAGGUUGCAAGCGUUAUCCGGAUUUAUUGGGCGUAAAGGGAACGCAGGCGGUCUUUUAAGUCUGCUGUGAAAGCCAUCGGCUUAACCGGAGUAGGGCAUGGGAAACGGGGAGACUGGAGUGCAGAAGAGGAGAGUGAAACUCCAGGGG